UUGGGUUCUGGGGUUCUGGUGGGUUCUGGUGGGGUUUGGUUUGGUUCUCCAAGGGUUUUGUUGAGUUCUGGUGGGAUUCCAUUGGGUUCUUGUUGGGUUUUGGUGGGUUCUCCAAGGGUUCCAUUGGGUUCUGGUGGGGUUUGGUGGGUUCUGGUGGGUUCUGGUGGGGUUUGGUUUGGUUCUCCAAGGGUUCUGGUGGGUUCUGGUGGGGUUCCAUUGAGUUCUGGUGGGGUUCUGGUGGGUUCUGGUGGGUUCUGGUGGGGUUUGGUGGGUUCUGGUGGGUUCUGGUUGGGUUCCAUUGAGUUCUGGUGGGGUUCUGGUGGGGUCUGGUUGGGUUCUGGUGGGUUCUCCAAGGGUUCCAUUGACUUCUGAGCUUUGGUUGGGUUCUGGUUGGGUUUGGUUCGGUUCUCCAAGGGU
This 417-nucleotide long non-coding RNA is filed under the name Parus major (Great Tit). RNAcentral describes it as "lncRNA (ENSPMJG00000004618.1)". The record is from RNAcentral. Lineage: Eukaryota; Metazoa; Chordata; Aves; Passeriformes; Paridae.